AGGAUAAUGAUUCUGUUUUUUUGCGCUUGUAGCCUGGUUUUUAUGAUGAUUUUGACCUUGAUCAUUGUACAAAGAGUGUGCAAAAAGCCUCCAGAAAAUAUCAUUCAAUCACCCAUUGCAGAAGAGCAAACAGAAGAUAUUUAUGAAAACUGCCUGGAAAUGAAUGUUAGACCACGACCCAUCUAUAAUAAGCCGCUCCAGUACAGUACGAUGGCACAUUAAUGUGUGUCCAGUAUAUGAAAAAGAGGAGGAGACUGCACAAAUAUAGGACCAGGAAAUGUUGGAACACAAUGAUUUGCAGGAAAUAAAACAGUUAACUGCUGUACUUUCACAUCCCCUUU
Sphaeramia orbicularis (orbiculate cardinalfish) is the source of this 341-nucleotide long non-coding RNA. RefSeq lists it as uncharacterized. NCBI's taxonomy places the organism in Eukaryota, Metazoa, Chordata, Actinopteri, Kurtiformes, Apogonidae. The transcript is spliced from 3 exons. The record is from RefSeq and is a predicted model, not a curated record.